Long non-coding RNA from Corythoichthys intestinalis (scribbled pipefish), 348 nucleotides. RefSeq lists it as uncharacterized. The transcript is spliced from 2 exons. Lineage: Eukaryota; Metazoa; Chordata; Actinopteri; Syngnathiformes; Syngnathidae. The record is from RefSeq and is a predicted model, not a curated record.
CAAGAUUCCAUUUCACUUUGCCUACAAGCCACUCUGAAACUUGCUCAUCCGUCACUCAGCAGGUGAAACAAUCAUGUCCAGGCUUCUACGAGUUACCCUGACUCUGGCCAUGUGUCUGCUCAUCUUAGCCAUGCUGAUGCCCAGCGCCGAUGCCUGUACCAUCGCGCCCCCGACCAUCCAUAUAAAGCCGCCAAGCGAACUUGUCAAGAACUUAGUUUCAGCGGCGACUUCACAAGGAGAAAACCUGAUGAAUGAUGUCUGAUAACAUUUAACGCCACAAUGAGAUGACAUAGCUAAAAUAUUCAAAUUAUGAAAAUAAAGUUCUUCAUGGGCAAACCUCCAUGUAAA